UAAUUCAUUUGUCUGCAUCGCGCUGAUCGGUUGCCUAUUUGUUCAUAUUAUGUUAUUAACUAUGAUUCGUUUUUGUCUUUAUACUAGAACUGUUUGAAUUUAAAGCACAAACAGUAAAACAUUAAGGUUAUACGUGGUACACAGCGGUAAACAUGAGGUUAAAAAUACGCGAAGUAACAUUCAAACCGGGCUGUUAAAAGAAUCAAUUCGAUGUUUAAAUUUUUAAAAACAAAACUUUAAAGAAGCCAAGAUGAGACGUUAUUUGCUUAAAACAAACAAAACAACAGUAACUCGUGUGUUUGAAAUGUUAGCAGCUAGCAAGUGUCUCUCUGCUAUUUUAAAUGAGGUCAUGUACACUGUGGUCAACUUUGUGGACGAUGAAGAGGUUUCUGGGUAAAGCUGAUAGAAAUAUAAUGAAGUAACAGUGAAAGCUAAAACAUCAGACUGAUCCAGACACUGAAGAAAUUGAUGUCACUGCAAUCUGGCCAAAAUGAUACAACUAUAUUGAAGUAACCUACUGUAAUGAAGCUGCAGAACAACACAGAGACUCUGAGGACAUCAACACAGAAAAUUAAGAAGAUUUAUGAAG
Non-coding RNA from Paramisgurnus dabryanus, 589 nucleotides. The record is from RefSeq and is a predicted model, not a curated record. Lineage: Eukaryota; Metazoa; Chordata; Actinopteri; Cypriniformes; Cobitidae.